UACGUAGGGGGCUAGCGUUGUCCGGAAUCAUUGGGCGUAAAGCGCACGUAGGCGGUCUGUUAUGUCGGAUGUGAAAGCCCUUGGCUCAACUGAGGAAGUGCAUCCGAAACUGGCAGGCUAGAGUACUAAAGAGGGUCGCGGAAUUCCCGGUGUAGAGGUGAAAUUCGUAGAUAUCGGGAGGAACACCGGUGGCGAAGGCGGCGACCUGGGUAGAUACUGACGCUGAGGCACGAAAGCGUGGGGAGCAAACAGG
This 253-nucleotide ribosomal RNA is filed under the name uncultured bacterium. RNAcentral's name for it is "partial 16S ribosomal RNA". It matches the Rfam family "Bacterial small subunit ribosomal RNA", at positions 524 to 776 of the family's 1533-position model. The record is from RNAcentral.